RNAcentral lists this long non-coding RNA (12990 nucleotides) under Podarcis lilfordi (Lilford's wall lizard). Lineage: Eukaryota; Metazoa; Chordata; Lepidosauria; Squamata; Lacertidae. The record is from RNAcentral.
GGAGCUUCCAUGGGUAGAGAGCAGCUGUCUCCCUGCCGCAAAUGUCUGCCUUCCAAUGUGUUGAGGGUAGCAGGGCAGUGUGACAGAGAUGUGAGCAAGUAGGUGGGGUCAGUAAGUGUAUCCCCACUCUCCAUUUUAGAAGGGCAAUAAGGGCAAUUUGUUGUUGUUUAGUCGUUUAUUCGUGUCCGACUCUUUGUGACCCCAUGGACCAGAGCACGCCAGGCACUCCUGUCUUCCACUGCCUCCCGCAGUUUCAUCAAACUCAUGUUGGUAGCUUUGAGAACACUGUCCAACCAUCUGGUCCUCUGUCGUCCCCUUCUCCUUGUCCCCUUCUUUCACAACAUCAGGGUCUUUUCCAGAGAGUCUUCUGUUCUCAUGAGGUGGCCAAAGUAUUGGAGCCUCAGCUUCAUGAUCUGUCCUUCCAGUGAGCACUCAGGGCUGAUUUCCUUCAGAAUGGAUAGGUUUGAUCUUCUUGCAGUCCAUGGGACUCUCAAGAGUCUCCUCCAGCACCAUAAUUCAAAAGCAUCAAUUCUUUGGCGAUCAGCCUUCUUUAUGGUCCAGUUUUCACUUCCAUACAUCACUACUGGGAAAACCAUAGCUUUAACUAGAGGACCUUUGUUGGCAAGGUGAUGUCUCUGCUUUUUAAGAUGCUGUCUAGGGCCAUAGCUCAAUUAAAAAAAAAAAAAAGUAUCUGUGUUUCAUGCAGAAAGCCCCAGCAUCAGUCCCUAGCAUCUCCAGAUAGAACUGGGAGAGAACUAUGUCUGAAAUCUUGGAGAGUCACUGCCAGAAGGUGUAAGACAAUACUGCGAUGGAUGGGCCAACAGCCUCACUUGGUAUAAGGCUGCUCCUAAUGUCUGAACAGAGCUUUUGUUGAGCAGUUUCCUGUCUGCCUUCUUGCAGUCUAACAAUGAAUCACUUUCACCUUGCUGGAAAAGUUCCAGCGGCUUUGUUUAACCAUGGCUCUAUGCUUAAGACUCACUUUUAGUUCUUCCGCGGCUCUGACGCAAUUAUCCAUGCAGUAGUAGGAAGAUUUAAGACAGUUUCCUGGAAUGACCUAUAGAUAACCCAACAGAGACAACUUCCACAGUGCACAGCUCAAAGAUCGCUCUUCCCUCCCUAUCCAGCCCACCAAAAAACCAGACCACCUCACACCCCAUAAUAUAUGACACCUUCUUUACUCUGCCUGCCUGGAGAGAUUUGUAAGCAUAAUUUGAUCUUCCCAUGAUGGUAUGAUGGCACACGUUGUUGAUCAUGAUGAAAUCUCAGGUUCCUUUUCUUGUCAUAAAUGUAACCUAUUCCCACCAUGCCAUCAUGGGGAUAUUAAAUUAUGCGUACACAUCUCUGUAGCCAGCCAAGGUUAAGAAUGAAUUGCAUAUCCUGUACGAUGGAGUUGCAAGGAGGUCUAGCUGUUUAGCUAGGGAAAGGGAGCAGGCAGAGUGAUCAUAACCUAUAUACUGCUGGAAUAUUUCUGUUCUUUUUCUUGGCUUAUAUUUAAGACACUUGCCUUUGUGUUUCAGCGCUAAGAGUAUGCCCAGUACUAAGAGCAGUGCUCUCUUUUUUCUAGAAAAAAAAAGGUGCAGGAACUCUCGCUUUUUCUGAGCUUUUCUUAGGGUGCCACCAAAGUUGCUGAGUUUUAUUUUAGGAUGCGCCGAAGUUGUCAAGCCACUGAAAACACAUACCUCCCUUAAGGAGAUUCUUUCCGAAGAGAAGAAGAAGAAGAAGAGUUUGGAUUUGAUAUCCUGCUUUAUCACUACCCGAAGGAGUCUCAAAGCGGCUAACUUUCUCCUUUCCCUUUCUUCCCCACAACAAACACUCUGUGAGGUGAGUGGGGCUGAGAGACUUCAAAGAAGCAUGACUAGCCCAAGGUCACCCAGCAGCUGCAUGUGGAGGAGCGGAGAUGCGAACCCAGUUCCCCAGAUUGCGAGUGCAGAAAAUGUGCAACACACCAACUCCUGCUCCAUCCAAAUUUCAGCACCCAGAAAACGCACUGCCUGCUGGAGCCCCCAGGAGAGGUGCCAGAACUAAGUUCCGAAGUGUUCUGGCUGGGGGAAAAGCCCUGACUAGGAGGCUAAGUGAACAUCUGCACUAUACAUUUAAAGCAAGAUCAUGCCACUUCAAACAGUCGCAAAGAAUCCUGGGAACCGUAGUUUGUUAAGGGUGCUGAGAGUUGCAUGGGAACUCCUGUUCCCCUCACAGAAAUCCCAUAGCCCUCUGGGAAAUACAGCUAUGUGAGGGGGAUAGUAAUUCCAAAUAAUUACUGCCGUUUUCUUUGGUCUGCUAUUGUUAUUACUGAAAUCUGUAGAACUGACUUUUCCAAUAAGGAGUAACAUAAAACACUAACAAGCAAAGUGCAUAAAUGCAUGCUGUCAAAUGUUAAGAUUUUAUCUCUGAUUCUUUCCCUUAGUUCGGAUUAGUCUCUUUGCCCUGCAGUACAUGAAAAACAAUCAGUGUUUGGGAAACGUAUUGAGCAUAUUCCUAACAUCUCUUUUGUCAUUGUAGCUAAAUACCUUGCAGUCCUGAACCCAAUAUAUCCACAAAAGGGUGGAUAUAUUGGGUCAAUUUCUGUUUCUGUCUAGGAAAAAGAGCUGCACAGAUAACUGAGAGACUGAACGAGAGAGAAUUUUUGCAUCCGAAUAUAAAUGUUGGGAGGCAGGUGUCUAUUCGCCCUCCUUAGAACGGAGGAUGGCAUAACGGAGGGGAGGAGUGCUAAAGGCAAGAUGGCAACUAGACAAGUUGCACAACAGAUGGCAUAAAACAUUAGUGGAGAAAUAUUCCAAAGCAUAAAAAACAAAUACAUGGGCAAAACAUAGCCUUUUCUUAUUUAUGUACUUAGCAUUAGGGAAAUUCAUGGAGGACAAGGCUAUUGGUGGCUAUGAGCCAUAAUGGAAAUGUUCUAUCUCCACUGUCAGAGGCAAGUAAAAAAGGUAAAGGUAAAGGACCCCUGGAUGUUUAAAUCCAGUCAAAGGUGACUAAGGGGUUGCGGCACUCAUCUCAUUUACAGGUCGAAGGAGCCGGUGUUUGUCCACAGACAGCUUUCUGAUGUCAUGUGGCCAGCAUGACUAAACCGCUUCUGGCACAAUGGGACAUCAUGAUGGAAACCAAAGUGCAUGGAAACACCAUUUACCUUCCCACCGCAGUGGUACCUGUUUAUCUACUUGCACUGGCGUGCUUUCGACCUGCUAGGUUGGCAGGAGCUGGGACAGAGCAACGGGAGCUCACCCCGUCACAGAGAUUCAAAUCUCCAACCUUCUGAUUGGCAAGCCCAAGAGGCUCAGUGGUUUAGACCACAGUGCCACCCCUGUCAGAGGCAAGUAUGUUUCUCUGAAUACAUAGGUACCUUGGUUGCCAAAUUUAAUCCAUUCUGGAGUCCGUUUGACUCCCAAAACCAUUUGAAAACCAAGGCGCUGCUUCCAAUUGGCUGCAGGAGCUUCCUGCACUCAUGUGGAAGCCAUGUUGGAUGUUUGGCUUCCGAAAAGCAUUCGCAAACCGGAACACUUAACUUCCAGGUUUGGGAGCCAAUUUGUUCAGGAGCCAAGCCGUUCAAGUACCAAGGUACCACUGUAUGAAUUUCUGGGAUCACAAGGAGGGAGAGUUGCCAUUUCACUCAGAUUCUUCUUGUCAGCUUCCCAUAGGCAUCCGGUUCGACAUUAUAAGAAAAGGCUAAUUGUUUGGAAUGUUUGCUAUAAGACACUUUGGGUGCCACUCAUUGUGGAAAAGUGGCAUAUAAGUUUUUGGUGAAAACAGCCUGAAAAGAGCACAAAAACAGCAAAAUGGUGCAGAAACAGCAUCUAGCAAUCCCAUGAGCCUUUGCAAGUGCAAUCCCAGGAGUGCUGCUGGUUUUUUUAAGGGAUUUUCAAGGGUUUCCAGUGUCUUAGAAGGUAUUUACAGGCUUUCUCAGUGGAGUUCCCAAUAUACAUGAUUUCACUUAAACUUGUGGUGCCUCGGAAUGUAAUCCCCGUGUAAAUGGGGAGUUGCCUGUAAUGGCAUUCUUCCAGAGGCAAAAACAGGAAUAUAUGGUUAGUCUUUUUCUUCUGAGCUGAGCUGAACUAAAAAGCUUUGGAUGUAGAAAGCCUGAUGUCUUGUUCAUGGUUUUCAAAGGCAAAUCUUAGAUAUAGGGCAUCAAUAUCACUUCUGUGGUGUGAUAAUGAGGAACAUUAGAGCCAAUUCUCACCCAACUGAAACAUCACUUGGGAAACUACAAUAGCUGUUUUUAAGAAUAAUGGGGCUUCAUAAGAUUUGCCUCCAAAAUAUCCCCUCAAGUGGACAUCAAAAUUAGUGUGGCAGUUCCAUCCAGGGGAACCAUGAGCUGACAUUCUGAGAAAAUAUAGAAAAAUGUUGAGAUUGUUAGGUACACCUAUUGAGGGGUUGUUUGUACACCUGUAAGUAAAAAAGGAUUUUCAUUAUGUUAUGUAUUGGAUGUUGGAGGGACUGGAUAAUGAUCAGUUUCGGUAAUAGACUGAAACAAUUGAAUCUGCUCAUGUGGUUCUGAUGUUCACACACACACACCCCCAGAGAAAAUGGGCUUUCAUGUCAGUACAUGAGAAUGGGGACCAUUUUUAAAAUAUAUAUAUAUAUCACUGAUCCAGAGAAUGUCCAGCUUCACAGGCUGUGGCUUCAUAUUGGUGCAAUGCACACUUUGUAUCAAUAUAGCUGUGCAUACGUCUAAGGGCAGACUAGCAAUCCUUUGGGUUACUCACUGUGACUUGCUCACUGUGACUCUUCAGCGGUUUGGGAAUUUACACGAAAUGAUCUGGGUUGUUUAGCCAAUGUCAGGGAGAACUUUGGCUUGCCAGACGCAUGAAAUCAGAGAAGGUUCCUAUCUUGAUCUCUCCUGUUAGCAUCAGUAAAACUUAACAUGCUAACUAUGUUUACUUUGGCACAGUUGUCUUAGCUGAAGUCAAUGCAGCUUUCUUUAAAAGCCCGUAGAGGAACUGGCUCUUUAUUAAUGUCAAAGAAACCUGAGCAAACAAAGAAAUUAAAUAUGUCUAGGGCCCUGAUCCAGUGCUAGACGUACACAGAAAGCUAGAUGCAACACAGCUAAUGAGCCAAGAAUUGGGUGCACAUCCUAAGUUGUAUCAACAGAGGGAUUCGACUCAAACUACGUAGCUGCUGUGAUCUUGUAUAUUUUCUGUUGAUUGCUAGUAAAUUCACCCUGGCCUGAAAAGGAAACUCAAAAUGAGGUCCCUACCUGCUGCUAUAGCGCCUUCUGGAAGUUUGGAAUGACAACAUCCCUGAGCGCUCGGCAGCACUUAGGAGUUGUGGUCCAAAACAUCUGGAAGGCGUUAGGUAUAGGAAGAUCUAAGACUUCUCAAUAGCUGGAGGGUGGGAUGAUGUGCAGCUUAAUAUAGAAACAGCAGCAGCAGACAGUGAGUUUGGGCAGCAUCACCUACUGGACCACUUUGUUGUUGUUUAGUCAUUUAGUCGUGUCCGACUCUUCGUGACCCCAUGGACCAGAGCACGCCAGGCACUUCUGUCUUCCACUGCCUCCUGCAGUUUGGUCAAACUCAUGCUGGUAGCUUCCAGAACACUGUCCAACCAUCUCGUCCUCUGUCGUCCCCUUCUCCUUGUGCCCUCCAUCUUUCCCAACAUCAGGGUCUUUUCCAGGGAGUCUUCUCUUCUCAUGAGGUGGCCAAAGUAUUGGAGCCUCAGCUUCACGAUCUGUCCUUCCAGUGAGCACUCAGGGCUGAUUUCCUUCAGAAUGGAGAGGUUUGAUCUUCUUGCCGUUCAUGGGACUCUCAAGAGUCUCCUCCAGCACCAUAAUUCAAAAGCAUCAAUUCUUCGGCAGUCAGCCUUCUUUAUGGUCCAGCUCUCACUUCCAUACAUCACUACUGGGAAAACCAUAGCCUUUACUAUACUGGACCACUAGUCACCUGCAUUGCUGCUGCAUCAUAGGAUGGAGAGGGGUGGGGAGGAUGCAGCAGUGAGGUGAGCGCAGGGAGGGAAACACAGGUGAAACCAGUCCGGUGCUUCCACAAGUGCAUUUGCACUGUGCUGGCCUCAGCAACGCCUUGCCUCUUCCCCUCUUCCCCCUGUUAUGCAGCAGCAAUGUAGGCAACUGGAGGUGAGAUGAGUUAUACUGCCCCAUCCCACCAACUGCUACUGGCCAUGUACAACACUAGGCCUUUUUCGCCCUCCCAUCAUGACCCCAAGCACCUCUCAUUUUUUGCUACCUUUGUCUCACACAACAUCCAGCCUGGAGACGAGUCUUGCAAAGCUUUCUGAACGGAGUAGAUGAAACGUUGGUCCAUCUAACUCAGUAUUAUCUACAUUGACUGGAAGCAGCUCCCCACGAUUUCAGACAGGGAUUUCUCUUCUUGUCCUCCCUGGAGAUGCCAAAGUUUGAACCUAAGAUCUUCUGUGUGGAAAGCAGAUGUUCUCUUCUUCUUUGGCGAUCACUCGUAGCUGAGUAAGAUUGUCUUCCAUAAACACAGUUUUAACAGUGAGUCUGUAAGUGACUGUGGAGGCCAAUUCUGGAUCCACACGUCCUUCCACCGUGGGGACAUUGGCUUCCGGGCGGGAGUUGAUCAUGGUGAGGGUUUUGCCAAGCCUGCCUUCCUCUUAGCUCGUUUCUCCCUUUCAUCCUGAGUUCAAGCAUCUUCAAAGGCCAUGACACCUUUGGUAAAGGCUGUUCUCUCAAGCCAGUGUUUCCCAAUUGUCAGUGUUUACAUUUUACAAAUGUAACAAUUCAUUUUAGGGCUUUAUUUUUCUGAAUUAAAGUCAUGAAUUAAGUACUGCUACCUGCCUAUUUUUUUGAAAGCAUUAACCUGGUAGUCACAUGAUGUAGCUGUUGCCACAGAUAAAGGGCCUUUAUUGAGAUUAUUUUCAUAUUUGUUUUUGUUCUUCUACUUCCCUAGAUAAAGGUAAAGGGACCCCUGACCAUUAGGUCCAGUCGUGACCGACUCUGUGGUUGCAGCACUCAUCUCGCUUUAUUGGCCAAGGGAGCCAGCGUACAGCUUCCGGGUCAUGUGGCCAGCAUGACUAAGCCGCUUCUGGCGAACCAGAGCAGCGCACAGAAAUGCCGUUUACCUUCCUGCCAGAGUGGUACCUAUUUCUCUACUUGCACUUUGACAUGCUUUCGAACUGCUAGGUUGGCAGGAGCAGGGACAGAGCAACGGGAGCUCACCCCGUCGCGGGGAUUCGAACCGCCGACCUUCCGAUAGGCAAGUCCUCGGCUCUGUGGUUUAACCCACAGUGCCACCCAUGUGCCGUACUUCCCUAGAUAGCGAUCUGCAAAUUGACCCAACUCUUUUUGGGGGGAUGGGAGAAGGUAAUUUGUGCAUGUGGAAAAUGCUCCCUAGUAUUGGGGAAGAUGCAAAUUUAUAAGAAUUACAUUUGGGAAAUGAUGUGGCAUCUGCUCUUAUUUUUACCCUUUUAAGAAAUCCUCAUCAGGUAUCAUUUCAUUAUUCCACCCCAUUCAUUCCAAUGCAAAGUAAAUGCAAUGCAAAUGUCUCAUUUGUGGACUGAAAGUAACGACAACAGUGAAUACUGAUUAUAUUUAAUGAAUUGAUUUCCAUUCCAGACAUUAGGCAAAUAAGUGAACAUCAUCAGUUUUCGCUCCUGUUUCCAUUUUUCACCAGAAUUUCCCAACAUCCCAAGGCUGGACUAGAUUGCUACCAAGAUCACUUCAAACUGUGAUUGUAUGAUUCCUCUUGACCAUAUGCUCUCACUCCUUCCACAGCUGCUCUGAUCCCAUUAAUUAUCAGUUUGCAUGUUCUUAUUUUUUAUUUUUUAAAACCUUUCCCUUAGUUGCAAAGACUAAAUGAACGAUGGGACCUGUAUUUUUUUGUGUACUUACUUGUUAAAUGCUGCAUUGUAUUGCAUUCUUGGUUUGUUUUUGAAUAGUUUAAAUGUUUUUAUUGGUUUUAUAUUACAUUUUUAUUGUGCACCUCUGCAGCACUUAGACAUUUUAUAGAAACAUUAAGUGGUUUAGAAUUCUUUUGUCAAAUAAACAAACUAAAUACAUAAAAAGAACUUCAUAUCUAAGCUGGGCUUGCAGACUGCGGAAUCUUUCUUUUCAUCCACUGAGCUUAUUCAGCAAACUGGGGGACAGGAUAUGUGAAUUACUAGUACUUUUACAGAGAUUUUUUAAAAAACAACAACAACAAAACUUUAAAUAUUGUGAAGAAACCCAUCUAUUAUUUGGAGGGAGAGAGACUAUUUCCAUUGCAAAAACAAUGAAAAGAUCUGCCAUUCACAAACACCAAAGCCAAUGAAACCCAUCAAUGCAGGAAACAAUUUUCUGGGGGGGAAACAGUAUGAAAUACAACCAACACAACGAAAGGCAGUGUAAUGUAAACAAAAGUAAGUCUGGCUCCAAAUGUUUUAUUGUUUUUGGAAGGCUCCUUGGUGAACAUAUAUGUUUCUUCUUUCAAAUAUGAGAAGUGACAUAUAUAUAAAAUCGCAGGUCAAAAUAAAUUUAUCUUCCCAGCUGUGGGCCCCUCUGUUGUUGAUAAUGAGUGAGGGGUCAUAUCUCAGCAACAGAGAAUCUGCCUUGUAGGUAGAUGUUUCCAGAUUCAAUCCCCAGUAUCUCUAGGUAGGUCUGGGACUGGGAUAGCCUUAAACCCUGAAAAGCUGUGACCAAACCCUGUAGACAAUACUGGGCUUAGUGGACAAAUGGUGACCAAGACAGAUGUUUUAAAAGUUAUGUAUGACAUGGAGCAAGAGAUUAAAGUUUUUCUCCCUCUCGCAUACCAUUAGAACAGGCUUCCUUAAACUCUUCCCUCCAGAUGUUUUGAGACUACAAUUCCCCUCAUCCCUGACGACUGGUCCUGCUAGCUAGGGAUCAUGGGAGUUGUAGGCCAAAAACAUCUGGAGGGAAGAGUUUCAGGAAGCCUGCAUUAGAAUCACAGAAGCAAAGAAUUGUAGAGUUGAAAGGGACUCCGUGGGUCAUCUAUAGCCCAACCCUUGUAGAAAUCUCAACUACAGCAUCCAUGGCAGUUGGCCACCCAACCUCUGCUUUAAAAACCUCCAAGAAAUGAGAGUUGACCACCUGCCUAGAGAGACUGUUCGACUGUUUAACGGCUCCUACCAUCAGAAAGUUCUCCUGAUGUUGAGUCAGACUCUCCUUUCUUGUAACUUGAAGCCAUUGGUUCGGGUCCUGCCCGCCAGAGCAGGAAAAAACAAGAACCCUUGAAUCUGUUCCGUUCCUUUACCGCAUCCAUCUGCAAUUUUUUUUAAAAAAAAUAAUGCAUGGAAAUUUGCACUUACAUUCAUAUUCUACGUGUUUCACUCAAAAUACGCAUUUCUAAACACAUUUUCAUUCAAAAUAUGCAUAUUUGAAUGUAGCUUGGUUCUUUUUGAGCCCUGAAAUGCACAGCCAACAUUUGGAUAUGGGUGAAAUUCAGUGGAUAACAUUCUGCUCUGCUCCUAUCAACAUUUGCGAGGACUGGGUUCUUCAAGCAUUGCCGCUUGUCGCAUACUAACUCAGUUUCUCUUAUUCCACAUACUUCAUCUGCCGAGAGUUAAUGCACAAAUACUCUUGGCUAGAAAAAGCAUAUUUCCUACUCUGCUGGCAGUCCCACUGAGCUCCACGAGCAAAUAUUGUUAUUAAAUAUUGAUUUUUAAAUUGCUGGCUGGAUCUGACCCUUAGGUCCGUGCAAAUCAUUUGCUUUGUAUGCAUCGAAUUGUUAUUCCUUAGUCUGAAACAUUUAAGACUGCCGAUGGAUUGGCUUUUUCUUUUGUUGAGGUCAUUCUGCUUCAGUAUAAGCUAUUCCUAUUGUUCCAAAACAAGUUGUGACCGGUCAAGCCAGACAGAGCCCACGAACCCAAAAACUCUUUCCCGCCUCCCUUUUUACAUUCUCAGAGAAGCAGCAUGCUCCAUGUGCCUUCCUCUGCUCUAACUGAGCCUUCUUCCUGAAUCCCCUGCCUUACUCAUGAGUAGGCUCUCCUUUUGUGGUUAUUAUUGUGCUGAUGCUGAUUGCUUAUUAGAUAUCUUGCCUGCCUUUCACCGCAAGCCGCCAGAGCGGGUUGCAGGACUAUGAAAAAUAUCUUAUCAAAAUCUAUGAAAACACCUAACGAUCAGAAGAACAGAGUCUUCUUUGGCGAUCACUCGUAGCCGAGUAAGAUUGUCUUCCAUAAACACAGUUUUAACAAUGAGUCCGUAAGUGACUGUGGAAGCCAAUUCUGGAUCCACACGUCCUUCCACAGUGGAGACAUUGGUUUCCGGGCAGAAGUUGAUCACGGUGAGGGUUUGCGAAGUGUGCCUUCCUCUUAGCACGUUUCUCCCUUGCAUCCUGAGUUUGAGUGUCUUCAAAGCCCAUGACACCUUUGGUAAAGGCUGUUCUCCAACUGGAGCGCUCGCAGGCAAGUGUUUCCCAGUUGUCUGUGUUUAUACUACAUUUUUUUUUAGAUUUGCUUUGAGACAGUCUUUAAACCUCUUUUGUUGACCACCAGCAUUACACUUUCCAUUUUUAAGUUCGGAAUAGAGUAGUUGCUUUGGAAGACAAUAAUCAGGCAUCUGUACAACAUGACCAGUCCAAUGAAGUUGAUGUUGAAGAAUCAUUGCUUCAGCACUGGUGAUCUUUGCUUCUUCCCGUACACUGGCAUUAGUUUGCCUGUCUUCCCAAGUGAUAUGUAUAAUUUUUCGGAGACACCAUUGAUGGAAUCUUUCAAGGAGUUGGAACAGGGUAGUUCCUAUCUAUUUAUCUAUCUAACAGCAAAGUGGUCUGAUAUGUCCCCCUGGGCAAAAGCGUGCCAAAUAUCAGGACCGGCCCAAUCAUUAGGCAGAGUGGGGAAGCUGCUUCAGGCAACGAGUGCUAUGGGAGGAUUGUGGCAGCUAGAUGAGUGAGUAGCAAAAAAUGGUCGACAGACAGAGAUGUGUGUUAUGUAACGUUUGCCCUGAGCAUCCUAAGUUAACUCUCUGUUGUUUCUCUAGCAGGGACCACUGAACCCAUAGCCAGUCAUAAAACAAGCUAUUCUGUGGAGUAGAAGACAACGAAAACACUCCCUGUUUUGUGCUCAUGUUGUAUAGCCCUAAAGUGGUAGCCAUCUUGGCUCACCAUUGAUCUCAUCUGCAUUCCAAUUAGUGACUAAGGAGUCUCAGUAGGCCAUUUACAAACCCCCUGUGCCAUCUAGUCACUAGAACGUAUUUUGUUUAUAAUGGCUUAUUGAUCCGGCGGAACAUAACAGCUUCCAUGGCCAUGUGUUAAUCUAGCUCCAAAGCAUGCCCACUUCUGGUUUUAAGGUUGUUGCGUGUAAUACUUAUUAGCAAUAAUGAGAAGUAUGUGCUCACACAGAAGGGAAUGGUAGUUCUGAGGUUGCAUGCUGCUAAUAUAAAUCCUCGGUCCACCCUAUUUCAGUUAUUGAGGGAACAUUGAGGAUUUAUAAGCAUUGACUGGUAUUGUUGUCUCAAUGAAUCAAGUGUUGUUUCCUUGUGAGAAAAUGUGAAAAAUACUUUUUUUUGAAAAUUUCCUUGAUUUGUUUUAAGAAGCCUGCCUCCAUUCUCCCUCUGAUUUCUUGAAAUAUACUCGGAGUCGAGAGUGGAUUUCAUGCUCUUUAUUCAGCUCAUAGUGGUGAGGAGGAAUGGAAGUUCCCCCAGAAUGUCUGCUUUAUAUACAUUAUUUACACAAUGGGCCCCACGUGAUAGGCUAAUUCCAGGAUUCUCCUGCAGGCCAAUCAGGUUGCGGAUUCACUUCCACCUGGAGCUGGAUUGGGUGGCUCCUGUGGACGAAUCAGACUGCUACAUUCUGAAUCCUACUCUUCUAGGACCAAUCAGACUGCUGCAUUCUGAAUCCUAUUGUUCUAGGACCAAUCAGACUGCUGUAUUUUGGAUCCUAUUCAACUCAGUACAUAACAUUUCUGCUAGAAUUCAAAGCUGCUGUUAUGGGAGAAGCAAGACCCUCUCAGAAUGUCAAUGCUGUGAGCCCCUCCAUUGCAGGCACAGGUUGUAUAUUUGUGGGAAUAAGUCAUAUAUCAUAAAGACGCCACAAGCUCUGCUGCGUUUCAUCCCCAAAAGGAAACAUGGAUUCUUGAGUAAGCCGCUGGAAGCCCUGGGAUCUCAACCACUCAGAGAUUGGGGUGGCAAGCAAAAAUACUAAAAUAGUGGGUGGCAAGGAAGAUUUCUCAAUACCCUGGAUUCUAAAACCUCUUUAAAGUAGCAGUCUGCCAACUCCAGCGCCUUUACAGUACAUCGUUUGAUUUCUAACUUCUUUAAUUUAACAGCUUCCAUAAUUGGGAACAGAAGAGAGGGAUUGAAUUAGUGGAAUAUAAACUAUGCUGUGUGUGUGUGUUUAAGCAAGCACAUUUGAAUUAGGUUAAUUUGAUUCAGAAUAAUUUCCUCAAAUUUGUUGCAGGUUACCCCUCUUAGAAAAGUAAAUACAAAUCAUAUUCCUAUCUUUAGGUAAUUUACUCCUUCCCCUGCUCUGAGAAUCAGGGAAUUUGGAAUUAGAGAAAGGAUUGCAAGCGGGUUGGACUACAAUACCUUUUAGGUGCCUUCUAGCACUGUGAACCGCUAUUAGUCGUUAUAACUAGGAGUGGAGGAGAAAUUUGAUGCAGUUCACAUUUAAUGAGCAGCAUACCAAACUGCAGGAGGAAAAGGAAGACAGGAGUGCCUGGCGUGCUCUGGUCCAUGGGGUCACGAAGACUAAACGACUAAACAACUAAACAACAACAAGAACCUAACUCACACUCUCCAAAACAAGAUGUGAACCUAAACACCAACCAGUCCUUUGAAAUGUGCAUUUCUCUGAAUUUUGUUAUGUAGUUCUCCCAGCCAUGAGACAAGGUGAAAAAAAUGCACUGUCCCAGGAAAAAGUGUUUUGCAAAAAUGUGUCUAUUAGGCAAAAUUGCCUACAGAUGUGGAUAUUAAGAGAAAUUUGCACCAAAAUGCUGAUGGAUCUCCAUGGGGACUUUUAUUUAAUUUCCCUCUUUGUUCUUUUGCAAAGUCGAAGUGGAAAUGUCGAGAAAUGGAUUUGAGAUUGGAAACAGAGAAACUGAAAUUGACAGAACUGCCUGUCCCUGACAGAAACUAAAUGGAAUCUCCAUGUACAGAUG